GAUGCCCUAAGAUCCUCUCCACUCUCAGUAAAUAUCAACCCAAACCCUAUCCCUUCAACCGCCGACCUCUCUUCUCCAGUCAUCCCCGCUGACCUCUCAUCCUCUCCUAGGUCUCCAAUGCCUUCUCUCAUGCCAUGCCUGCCUUCUCUAAGGUCAUCAAGGGACAUGGCCAUGCCGGCUUACAUCUAGAGCUCGUCACUUGUCUCUUCUUGGCUGCUCCAGUGUGAUUUUGAGCAAAAUCAUGCUGUAUAUGUUACGAUCUUUGGGAUUCUAGGGAGGUUCUUUCAUCUCUAUAUGGUUUUCUUUUGAAACCCUAAUUUCUUCCUAUAUCUCCUAGAUCUAUUUAGAUCUAGGAUGAUUUGAGUUUGUUUCUCUAUUGUUUUACGCUGUCCUUGGAACUCUUUACAAGAAUUGUUGAUUUCAAGUGUUUUUCACCUUUUCCUAAAUUUAAGGUUUCGAAAUUUCUUUUUAAUACCUUGUUUAACUGAUCCUUUUUGUUUGAACUUGUAUUUCUUUCAUAUUUUGGUUUAUUUUAUGAUUUUAAUACACCUUUACUUCGUCUAUGUUGAAAACCCUAAUUUUCUAGGUUUCUUCGUUUGAUUUUUAAUUGGCCGGUUCUCGUUUGAAUUUCUGUGAUUAUUUUUCCUCGAAUAUGUUUCUACUGAGUUCCUUGGCCUAACUUAUAUGAGCUCUAUAUGCUUGUUCUCCUCUUGAGUGUUCAAGACUAGCCUCUUUGCUUGUCGUAUCUAGUUAAUCUUAUCUUGCUCUAUUUAUAUGCUAAACACUUACUCGUGACUUUCUAUUUGAUUGAUUCUUGAUUCCCUAUUUUUGGAAGACCUUCCUUUAAACCUUUGAUUCCUACCCUUUCUAUUUCAAAAUUUACUGAUUAUCCUACCUUGUCUGCAUUAGUACUUUAUUCUUAUUAUCUAUCUCCUUAAUUAGAGUUCUCUAAACUUAGCCCUAACUGUUUACCCUAUACUUUCUAAUAUUGAAAUCUUUCCUCAUUGGGCGUACACUGAUUUCUUUCCUUAUUUGUUACUUGUUCUUACCGUAUGAAUUGAUUCCCUUAACUUAAGGGAGUACUUGUGUUUAUUUUGCUCUAAUUGGUUCUGAGUUCCAUAAUUACUAUACUAUUGUGAUACUUACCUUAUUUUACCUACUUUAGAACUUCUAUAUAUACCUAAUCUCUCAUUAACACAAACACACGAACACAUUGGUUCAAAAACUCUCUCUUUCACACUAUAAGUUUUCUGCUCUCUUUUGUGUUACUUACUACUGUCUAAAGUCAGCUAGCUGUAAGCCAAGGCUAACUACUGGGUUCUCUUUCACUUUCUGUUUACUAUCCCUUUACUGGUGUGUUCUGAUUUUAAUUCAAGUCCCAAGACAAUAUGCUUCUACUAUUACUUCAAUUUGUCAUGUUUUAAUAAGCUUCUAUCUAUGGUUUUGUUGUUCAACUUACAAUUAACAUGUCUACUUCACUGUCUACUUCACUGUCUUCUUUGUUGCAUGCUAUAUACCCCCUUAGGAUCCCCUUCUAGUGUGCCCCAAUGUGACUAUGUUUCUCUGAUCCCUGGCAUGGACCUUCUUGUAUGAAGUAAUUGGCUAUCAUAAUUCUAUUGAUUCUAUAUAACUCUAAAGUUCAUGCUAUACUUUAAAAGCCUUUACCCCUUUUUAGGCUCCUCAUGCAUCUGCACUUACUAUGUAGCCUAUGCUUACCCAAAUCCCCAUAACCCAUGUUGGCCCAAGUUUCAGUUGGAGUUUUGUAGAUUGAAAAAUGAACAUAUGGAAGGACCGAGU
Molecule: long non-coding RNA, 1797 nt
Filed under: Nicotiana benthamiana
Lineage: Eukaryota; Viridiplantae; Streptophyta; Magnoliopsida; Solanales; Solanaceae
Description: long non-coding RNA (NBEN_LNC003112)
Source: RNAcentral